Molecule: non-coding RNA, 252 nt
Organism: Rhypophila decipiens
Lineage: Eukaryota; Fungi; Ascomycota; Sordariomycetes; Sordariales; Naviculisporaceae
Source: the annotation of a GenBank genome assembly
GGCUCGUUGGUGUAGUUGGUAGCACGCUUGGUACUAGAAACGGUGUCUGGCCAUCAUCGUACCUGCGUACGGGUCGGGUUAAGGCUGUGAUGGACACUCCUAUCGGUCACGAGACGGAUAGGAGGAAAAGACAGUUCAUCCCCCUAGCUCAAAGGACAAGAGAUUGUGUUUAUGAGAUGCGACCGGCGUAUCCCAUAACUGCUCUGUGUUUGACGGAGACAAGAUAGGCGGGUUCGAUUCCCGUCCGAGUUU